RNAcentral lists this ribosomal RNA (261 nucleotides) under Aureoumbra lagunensis. RNAcentral describes it as "partial Eukaryotic large subunit ribosomal RNA". It matches the Rfam family "Eukaryotic large subunit ribosomal RNA", at positions 151 to 411 of the family's 3401-position model. The record is from RNAcentral. Lineage: Eukaryota; Pelagophyceae; Sarcinochrysidales; Sarcinochrysidaceae.
UAGAGGAUACUUCGGCGUCGGCCCCGUUCUAAGUUCCUUGGAACAGGACGUCAUAGAGGGUGAGAAUCCCGUAUGCGGUCGGAAAGGUGCUCUAUACGUAGCUCCUUCGACGAGUCGAGUUGUUUGGGAAUGCAGCUCUAAAUGGGAGGUAAAUUUCUUCUAAAGCUAAAUAACGGCCAGAGACCGAUAGCGCACAAGUAGAGUGAUCGAAAGAUGAAAAGCACUUUGGAAAGAGAGUUAAAAAGUACGUGAAAUUGUUGA